This 253-nucleotide ribosomal RNA is filed under the name uncultured bacterium. RNAcentral describes it as "partial 16S ribosomal RNA". It matches the Rfam family "Bacterial small subunit ribosomal RNA", at positions 524 to 776 of the family's 1533-position model. The record is from RNAcentral.
UACAGAGGGUGCAAGCGUUAAUCGGAUUCAUUGGGCGUAAAGGGUGCGUAGGCGGCGCGGUAAGUCGGGUGUGAAAUCUCGGAGCUUAACUCCGAAACUGCAUUCGAUACUGCCGUGCUUGAGGACUGGAGAGGAGACUGGAAUUUACGGUGUAGCGGUGAAAUGCGUAGAUAUCGUAAGGAAGACCAGUGGCGAAGGCGGGUCUCUGGACAGUUCCUGACGCUGAGGCACGAAGGUCAGGGGAGCAAACGGG